This 672-nucleotide ribosomal RNA is filed under the name Bacillus sp. BAB-4332. RNAcentral describes it as "bacterial SSU rRNA". It matches the Rfam family "Bacterial small subunit ribosomal RNA", at positions 173 to 837 of the family's 1533-position model. The record is from RNAcentral. Lineage: Bacteria; Bacillati; Bacillota; Bacilli; Caryophanales; Bacillaceae.
UUCCCUGAACCGCAUGGUCAAGGAUGAAAGACGGUUUCGGCUGUCACUUACAAGAUGACCCGACGGCGCAUUAGCUAGUUGUGGGGUAAUGGCUCACCAAGGCGACGAUGCGUAGCCGACCUGAGAGGGGUGAUCGGCCACACUGGGACUGAGACACGGCCCAGACUCCUACGGGAGGCAGCAAGUAGGGAAUCUUCCGCAAUGGACGAAAGUCUGACGGAGCAACGCCGCGUGAGUGAUGAAGGUUUUCGGAUCGUAAAGCUCUGUUGUUAGGGAAGAACAAGUGCGAGAGUAACUGCUCGCACCUUGACGGUACCUAACCAGAAAGCCACGGCUAACUACGUGCCAGCAGCCGCGGUAAUACGUAGGUGGCAAGCGUUGUCCGGAAUUAUUGGGCGUAAAGGGCUCGCAGGCGGUUUCUUAAGUCUGAUGUGAAAGCCCCCGGCUCAACCGGGGAGGGUCAUUGGAAACUGGGAAACUUGAGUGCAGAAGAGGAGAGUGGAAUUCCACGUGUAGCGGUGAAAUGCGUAGAGAUGUGGAGGAACACCAGUGGCGAAGGCGACUCUCUGGUCUGUAACUGACGCUGAGGAGCGAAAGCUUCUGGCCCUUUUUCAGGAUUAGAUACCCUGGUAGUCCACGGGGUGGGGGUAGCUAGUGUUAGGGGGUUCCGCC